This is a long non-coding RNA of Mytilus californianus (California mussel), 197 nucleotides long. RefSeq lists it as uncharacterized. NCBI's taxonomy places the organism in Eukaryota, Metazoa, Mollusca, Bivalvia, Mytilida, Mytilidae. The record is from RefSeq and is a predicted model, not a curated record. The transcript is spliced from 2 exons.
UAACUUGACAACUAUUCUUCGUGAAAGCUAUGAUUGGGUUAAUGGUCUUCAGCAAACUUUUGCAAACAAAGUGAUACAAAGUCCCCGAAUGAUUAAAGCUGUAAGAAAGAAAGUUGAAAAAGAAUUAAGAAAGUCAAAAAAGACAAAAUUUCUGUCAGAAAAGAAGGCAGAGAAAAUAGUCAAUGAUAUACAAAAGG